AAAUUUUUUCCCAACCUCCAGACCCAGUAAUUAGAACGUCACUGGAAAAAAAUGAUGAGUAAUUUUAGCAAUGAUCCAGUCUCAACUACACUACCAUUAUUAUUUGCUCUGCUCUGCUCUGAUCUCGCGCUACAGUCUCCGCUGACUCCAUGCAGUACCUUGUCCAUUGGUGUGACGUGUUCGAGGUCGUUUGACGAGUGAAUGACCAAAAAAAAUUAAUAAAUACCCGGCGAGUACAUACAUUGUGCAUUUUACGAAAGCUGAGGAUUGGCCACAACGAAAAAAUAAUCCAGAGGUGAGUAAGAAAAACUAUAAUUUAUUAAUCUUGAAUUAUUGAUGAUUAAAAAAAAUUCAAAGUAAAAAAAUAGUUUAAUUAAAUAAUAAUAGAUGGGAGUGGCAGUCCUUAAUUAAUAACUUACAACUUAAUAAACAGCAUCUUAAACCUUAAAAAUCCAUUUAUCACUCAUUCAUUGUUGCUUUAGGAACAGCUAGUAGCGAGGUUCGGUAACUCUAUCACGCAAUUAAUUUUUUUCGUACGAAUACAAAAGUCAAACUA
This is a long non-coding RNA of Microplitis demolitor, 556 nucleotides long. RefSeq lists it as uncharacterized. Lineage: Eukaryota; Metazoa; Arthropoda; Insecta; Hymenoptera; Braconidae. The transcript is spliced from 3 exons. The record is from RefSeq and is a predicted model, not a curated record.